Molecule: ribosomal RNA, 245 nt
Filed under: uncultured bacterium
Lineage: Bacteria
Description: partial 16S ribosomal RNA
Rfam family: Bacterial small subunit ribosomal RNA
Source: RNAcentral
UACAGAGGUCUCAAGCGUUGUUCGGAUUCAUUGGGCGUAAAGGGUGCGUAGGCGGUGUGGAAAGUCGAAUGUGAAAUCUUGGGGCUCAACCCCGAAACUGCACUCGAUACUACCAUACUAGAGGAUUGUAGAGGAGAUCGGAAUUCACGGUGUAGCAGUGAAAUGCGUAGAUAUCGUGAGGAAGACCAGUGGCGAAAGCGGAUCUCUGGGCAACUCCUGACGCUGAGGCACGAAGGCUAGGGGAG